This 69-nucleotide transfer RNA is filed under the name Ictidomys tridecemlineatus (thirteen-lined ground squirrel). RNAcentral describes it as "Spermophilus tridecemlineatus (thirteen-lined ground squirrel) tRNA". It matches the Rfam family "tRNA". From Rfam's summary of the family: Transfer RNA (tRNA) molecules are approximately 80 nucleotides in length. Their secondary structure includes four short double-helical elements and three loops (D, anti-codon, and T loops). The record is from Rfam by way of RNAcentral. Lineage: Eukaryota; Metazoa; Chordata; Mammalia; Rodentia; Sciuridae.
GGAGUUGUGGCUCAGCAGUAGAGCAUUCUCCUAGCACGUGUGAGGCCCUGAGUUCGAUUCUCAACACCA